AUCCACAACAAACUUCCCCCACAUCCUGGUCCAACUUAGGCUGGACCUUGGACUCGGCUCGCUACGCGAGUCGACCGGGUGACGUCGCCCGGCUUUUCCCACCAGCGGGUCACCAUUGCCACAAGCCAACGUCAUCCCGUCAUGCCGCCGGCUAAUCAGCCACUAAUUGUGGCAUGGUUUGGAUUGAUCGAGAAAUUGUUAGACUAACCGUGUGGUGGAGAUGCAGACUUUAAGGGUUUAUUUUUAUGGCUAGCGGUGCAAAUGGACCAAGCCAAGUCUAGUUGAGCUUAGCUCGAUCAUAUUCGAGGGUGGUCAAGGUCGAACCCGGGCUACUUGUGAGCUUCUUCUCAGCUUGCUUCUUUUGCAUUCGAAAUUGGAUGGUGUAUUUUUUUUUUUCUUUUUAAUGAAAGAACCUAGGUAGUGACAUUUCCAUUAUAUUCCUCGGAACAAGGAAAAGAAUUAUUUCAUUUGAUGUUUUCGAGGUCCAAAUAUUGUUCAGGCAUGGCUGAGCCUUGAAACGUGGCUAGAACUUGGAUUGCUUUCGAGUUUCGGUUAGCUUGAAUGAUCCACCAAGCUUGGAAGGCCUCUCCAUGCUGGUGAUUUGAUGCAGGGAUUACGUGGAGUGCAUCCGAGUUGAGGGCCUGGUGAAAUUAAGUGAAAGGAUUUUGAUGGUGUGGGAAAUGUGUCUUAAGUACUGCUUUACGAUCUCGGGGGGUCCAGGGGAGAUGAUGAUUCUGUCUUCUCCCACCGUCCCACAUGGUGCUCGUUCUGUGGAACCCUAUCAAUAUUGGAAGGAUAACAAGGAACAUGGACAAAGGAGACAAAGGGGUCGGGAAUCAAGUUACGGCAAUGGAUUGGGUAAGAUAAGAUUGAAAGCCUGUGCCGGGAACUGAUGCCAUUAUCUUAAGUAGGUACAAUAACACUGUUCAUGAAUCCUUAUCCCGGCUUGGAGUGAUGCCUUCUUUUGCAUGUUAUGAAUAAUUCUGUGUAGGCCUUUAGAGAGGGUAUAUGCCAGUAUAUUUUUUAUAUGAAAAGCAGUGAGGGAAACCCUUUUGUUUUUUUUCGCUUUUUGAGCAAUGCUGUGAGGGGGGCUACUGAUACGGGAAGACAGCUUAUGUUAGUUUGAUCCAAUUUUCAUCUAAGCUCGGGUGUUAGCCAACCUAUUUGCCUCUAUGAUUUCUAAGCCGAGGUACCAGAUCAAGAUUUGAGGUGGCUGUUACACACUAGAUAGUUAUCAUAUCCGGUCAAUAUGCUAAAUAUGCUCCGGAUCUUAUGGGUGACAAUUCAUCUCAGUCGGAUGAGAUAGGAGCAGUGUAAUUCUAUCAACCACUCCUGCUUUUUUAAAAAAAAAUGGUAGACUGCCCCACAUAUAAAUAGGAGAGAACAGAGGAUCCUAGGUUCAUCUCCAUCCGAUGCGGUGCCAGACUCUAGCCACUUUAGAUCUUUGCUCCAACAUUAGGUUGGCUGCUAGCAACAACCGCUACCAUCUACAUUUGGAUCCCCAAUCUUUUCCCAACGAAGGUGGAGAUCAAGCAGCCGGCUUAAUGCAUUCAAAAUUUUCAAUUUUUUUAAUAUGUUUGGAAACAUCAAAAACUAAUUCUUGCAAAUGGCACCCUAUGUUAAUGACCAAGACAACCAUCUCAUGCAAUCCAAAACACUAAAUCCGAUUGAGAUUGA
This is a non-coding RNA of Elaeis guineensis (African oil palm), 1677 nucleotides long. The record is from RefSeq and is a predicted model, not a curated record. Lineage: Eukaryota; Viridiplantae; Streptophyta; Magnoliopsida; Arecales; Arecaceae.